Molecule: ribosomal RNA, 460 nt
Filed under: uncultured bacterium
Lineage: Bacteria
Description: partial 16S ribosomal RNA
Rfam family: Bacterial small subunit ribosomal RNA
Source: RNAcentral
CCUACGGGAGGCAGCAGUGAGGAAUAUUGGUCAAUGGACGAGAGUCUGAACCAGCCAAGUAGCGUGAAGGAUGACUGCCCUAUGGGUUGUAAACUUCUUUUAUAUGGGAAUAAAACGUUCCACGUGUGGGAUUUUGUAUGUACCAUAUGAACAAGGGUCGGCUAACUCCGUGCCAGCAGCCGCGGUACUACGGAGGAUCCGAGCGUUAUCCGGAUGUAUUGGGCUUAAAGGGAGCGUAGGUGGAUUGUUAAGUCAGUUGUGAAAGUUUGGGGCUCAACCGUGAAAUUGCAGUUGAUACUGGCAGUCUAGAGUACAGUAGAGGUGGGCGGAAUUCGUGGUGUAGCGGUGAAAUGCGUAGAUAUGACGAAGAACUCCGAUUGCGAAGGCAGUUCACUGGACUGCAACUGACACUGAGGCUCGAAAGUGUGGGUAUCAAACAGGAUUAGAUACCCUGGUAGUC